GAUGAAGAACGCAGCGAAAUGCGAUAAGUAAUGCGAAUUGCAGAAUUCAGUGAAUCAUCGAAUCUUUGAACGCACAUUGCGCCCGCUAGUAUUCUGGCGGGCAUGCCUGUCUGAGCGUCAUUUCAACCCUCGCCCCCGGCUUUUGCUGGGAGCGGUGUUGGGGAUCGGCCGCCCGUCACUGGAGGCCGGCCCCGAAAUAGAGUGGCGACCACGCCGUGUGCUCCUCUGCGUAGUAGUAAAUCACCUCGCAGGCGGACAGCGGUGCGGCCUGCCGUAAAACCCCCAACUCUUUCUGGUUGACCUCAGAUCAGGUAGGAAUACCCGCUGAACUUAAGCAUAUCAAUAAGCGGAGGA
This 354-nucleotide unclassified non-coding RNA is filed under the name soil metagenome. RNAcentral's name for it is "partial contains 5.8S ribosomal RNA, internal transcribed spacer 2, and large subunit ribosomal RNA". The stretch from base 1 to 120 matches the Rfam family "5.8S ribosomal RNA", at positions 35 to 154 of the family's 154-position model. The record is from RNAcentral.